CUAAUACCUACAGACUUUUACCCUGUUGAUGUCACUGGUCCUGCCUGAAAUAACAAUAGGAAAUCUUUUGGCUUAACUCAGUUCCACAGUUGACUUUAAUGUCGGCCUCGCUUCCUGGCCCAACCCCACUCCUUACCUCCAUCCUCAUUCCCAUCGUGAAAAGAGACUUCAAAGAGCUCCUUCCCGUGCCUGUAUCAUUUCCACUCCGCAAACUGUCAUGGAAGCUGCUACCGUAGUGUCUCUGAACCUCUGGAGCCUUGGAAGAGCUAAGAAGAAAAGCAUAGUGUGCUUAAUUAGAGCGAUGGAUGGAAGGCAAAUGGAAGGCUCCUCCCCUGCCAGGCACC
Molecule: long non-coding RNA, 344 nt
Filed under: Rattus norvegicus (Norway rat)
Lineage: Eukaryota; Metazoa; Chordata; Mammalia; Rodentia; Muridae
Description: long non-coding RNA NONRATT033807
Source: RNAcentral